This 310-nucleotide ribosomal RNA is filed under the name Macroderes fornicatus. Its description in RNAcentral is "partial large subunit ribosomal RNA". Lineage: Eukaryota; Metazoa; Arthropoda; Insecta; Coleoptera; Scarabaeidae. The record is from RNAcentral.
UAAAUGGCCGCGAUAUUUUGAUCGUGCAAAGGUAGCAUAAUAAUUAGUUUUUUAAUUGAGAACUGGUAUGAAUGGUUGAACGAGAAAAAAACUGUCUCAAUUUAAUUUUAAUUAAAAUUUUAUUUUUAAGUUAAAAAGCUUAAAUAUUUUUAAAAGACGAGAAGACCCUAUAGAGUUUUAUAUAAAUUUGUUAUUUUAAAAAGAAUUAGAAUUUUAAGUUUAAUUAUAAUGAUUUAUAUUUAGUUGGGGUGACUAAAAAAUUUAAUAAACUUUUUUUAAAUUUAAACAUAGAUUUAUGAAUAAAUGAUCC